GCCAUCUUGGAUCCCGCAGUGCAGGGACAACACACGACGGCAUCUUGAGCGUCCUCUUUCAGCGCAGAGCCUGGCUCUUUCUCCCCUGUGGCCCAGCCUUCCUGUCCCAGUUGAGAAACUGGAGAAUGGGAGUGAUGACCUCCAAACUCUUUACAUGCUGGACCAAAAUUUGGAAGUCUACAAUCAAUCGCCUCUAAAUCACGCAAUCAACGUGGCUUAUGCUGAGCACUUGCCUUGCAUUGGGGAGUCGUUUUGAGAGAGAGAGCACGAGCAUGAGUGGGGGAGGGGCGCAGAGAGACACACACAGAAUCUGAAGCAGGCUCCAGGCUCCAAGCUCCAGUCUCCGAGCUGUCAGCACAGAGCCCGAGUGGGACUCGAACUCAUGGAUCCCGAGAGCAUGACGUGGAAAAGGUGGUGAAAAAGCUGACCCUCCAGAUGCCCACAGCUCUUCACUGGGGAUGUGUUUGGGGUGCCAAGACCUAGGAGACCGUCAACCCAACGGAUGGAUGUGGUCUGUGGCAUCGUCAUACCCUGGAACUAUCCCCUGCUGAUGCUCUCCUGGAAGACGGCUGACUGCCUGGCUGCUGGGAACACAGUGGCGAUCAAGCCUGCCCAGAGAAGAAAGAAGAUGUCUACAAAGGUUUCUACAAUGCAAUCAUGGUCCACCUUCAGCUUCACUGUCCUGUGACACACUCACAACCCUGUUUCUGGUGAGUCUAUUGGGGCCAUUGCUCAACUGUACCUGUCUCAGCCCCUCCGGUCCUCCACCCUGCAGUCCGGUCCUCCCAUUGCUGCCACACCGAGGGGCGUGCAGCACGAACAAGCUGAACUCAUCUUCAGGUUUCCCAUGUGGAGCUGAAGUAUCUGACUUUGAGAAGUGGUUAUAGACGUCACUUCCAUUUCAGGAAAAUGACUCCUUGCAAGAAAGGGUCAGGGUUAAUUUUGGAAAAAACAAAAAACAAAAACAAAAAAACUUCCCAAAGAUAUGUUUUACUUAGCCCAUAAUGAAUGAGCUCCCCCAUCUUUGGGGCCAGACUGAUGGAAUAUUGGGGAAAGUUCUGGUAGGGAGAUAUUUGGGUUGAAAUGACUGAUCCAUACAUUGGGAGGUACAAGGAUAUUCCCCUCAUCCUGUCUAAUUGGGGUGAUCUGAAAAGUCAACUUAUUGCAGCCAUUCUGUGUUGCUGUGUUCUCCAGUGUAAGUGAAGAUGCUGGUUUUGCCUAAAGAGAGGAAGAAUUAACCUGUCAGGAAACAGGCACAUGGGGCAUGCUCCCCAGAAAAGGCUGGACUAGGGAUGGGAAUGGUCUUGGGUGUAUGCCUGAAGGAAGAACAUGAGACCCCGGGUCCUGUGAUUAAUAGUGAAUGUUCCACAUCUCCUAUGGAGUGCCAAGGUGAAUGUCAGAGGACCCCACUCCUGUCCCAAGUUUAUGCAGAGAGAGGGAGGGACUGGCCUUGAGGUUGCCAGAUGAGCUGACCACCAGCAUGUUCCUCUGUGACUCCACUGUGGUGUGGGCAUGAGGCAAAGUUCAUUCCCAAGCAGGCAUUCAGGAAGUGUGGCUAGAGUGGAUGUGUCAUGUCUCAUACAAGUCAGCACACCAGUUCAGGGCUCACUCCUCUAUCUGACCUGGCUCCCUUUGGCAGGUCUUGGGAGGGAUGAUAUUUAGGCUAAAGACACCAGUAAGAGGAGCCAAUUGGAUGUAAGUUUUGAGCAAGCCCAACAUCAACGACAACCAUCCCAUUAAAACCCAUCAUUACCUACUUCUACUAGAAUAAACUAAACUUCUCAAAUGCCCUCAACACACACAACACACUUUUCCUCAAUAAUUCCCACUGUCAACCAGACUUUUGGUCUUUACAAGUACUUAUCCUUCCAUCUUUGGAAAUACAUUUGGCAAACAAUGUGUUUUAGCUACCCGAUGCACUCAUCGUUGCCUGUAGAGAAGAAAGCCAUGAUGAUGUGACUUUCCACACAGGUUGCUGCCCUGUAUCUUCCCAGCUGUGUCUGGCCAGGGCUCACUGUGCUCCUUCUGGUUUAGGCACAGAACUGGGGCUACAUUUGGUAGUCACAGUCUUAUUGACCCACCACUUGCUAACACACCGGAUUUAAGAACAUCCAGAGUCUUAUGACACACCCUAAAUAUGAAAGGUGAAUAAUUAAGAACACUCGCCAAAUAAACCCCAGAGAAAUGUCAUCUUUAAUAUGUCACACAAUUCACAGACCCCCAAAGCCAAUGAUGACCUAGAGUUAGGAUUCCCAAUGGAUUUGAAAGGAGACAUCAUUAAAAACAUGCUUUGGCAAGCAAUUACAAAAGUGUUUGAAACAAAUGAGAAUAAGUCUCAGGAAAGGAAGAAAGGUGUAAAGAAGUACAUAAUGGACAAUUACAACUGAAAAGGAUAAUGACUACAAUUUUUAAAAUACAAACAUACACACAGACAACACAAAGAAUAAAACUAAUAUUUAUGUCACAGGAGUCUCAGAAAGAGAAAAUAUAAAAAAGUAGGGACUAAAAAUAUUUUUCAAGAGAAAAAUAAAAAAAAAAUUGUUUCAGGAAAUCAUGGCUGAUUUGCCAAAUUUGACAAAAGAUAUGAACCUAAUGAUCUAAGAAAAUGCGUAAAUACCAAAGAGUUGAAACCUCAAGAAGUCCACCAAGAAACAUGCUAUGGACUACACUAUGCUCCCACCCCAUUCACAAUUUUCCAGUUCUAUCCCCAUAAACUUGCAUGUGGGGCCUUGGAAGAUAAUGAGGUUAUGUUAGGUCACAAGUUUAGGACCCUCAUGAUGAGGUUAGCAUGCUUACAAGGAGAGAUGCCAGAGAGCUGGCACACUCUCUCCAUGCACACAUACAGAGAGAGGUCAUGUGAGCACAAAGCCAGAAGGUGGCCAUCCGCAAGCCAAGAAGAUGAGUCUCCCCAGAACGUGACCACACUGGUGCCCUUGUUGGAUUUCUACCCUAGAAACUGUAAGAAAGUGCAUUAUGGAUAUUUAUCCAUUGGCUUAAACUUAGUGCAUUUUUACACAUUGCAAUA
Neofelis nebulosa (Clouded leopard) is the source of this 3025-nucleotide RNA transcript. It is a transcript of the gene named cytosolic 10-formyltetrahydrofolate dehydrogenase-like, with no coding region annotated. Lineage: Eukaryota; Metazoa; Chordata; Mammalia; Carnivora; Felidae. The record is from RefSeq and is a predicted model, not a curated record. The transcript is spliced from 6 exons.